GACGAACGCUGGCGGCGUGCUUAACACAUGCAAGUCGAACGGAAAGGCCCUGCUUUUGUGGGGUGCUCGAGUGGCGAACGGGUGAGUAACACGUGAGUAACCUGCCCUUGACUUUGGGAUAACUUCAGGAAACUGGGGCUAAUACCGGAUAGGAGCUCCUGCUGCAUGGUGGGGGUUGGAAAGUUUCGGCGGUUGGGGAUGGACUCGCGGCUUAUCAGCUUGUUGGUGGGGUAGUGGCUUACCAAGGCUUUGACGGGUAGCCGGCCUGAGAGGGUGACCGGCCACAUUGGGACUGAGAUACGGCCCAGACUCCUACGGGAGGCAGCAGUGGGGAAUAUUGCACAAUGGGCGGAAGCCUGAUGCAGCAACGCCGCGUGCGGGAUGACAGCCUUCGGGUUGUAAACCGCUUUCGCCUGUGACGAAGCGUGAGUGACGGUAAUGGGUAAAGAAGCACCGGCUAACUACGUGCCAGCAGCCGCGGUGAUACGUAGGGUGCGAGCGUUGUCCGGAUUUAUUGGGCGUAAAGGGCUCGUAGGUGGUUGAUCGCGUCGGAAGUGUAAUCUUGGGGCUUAACCCUGAGCGUGCUUUCGAUACGGGUUGACUUGAGGAAGGUAGGGGAGAAUGGAAUUCCUGGUGGAGCGGUGGAAUGCGCAGAUAUCAGGAGGAACACCAGUGGCGAAGGCGGUUCUCUGGGCCUUUCCUGACGCUGAGGAGCGAAAGCGUGGGGAGCGAACAGGCUUAGAUACCCUGGUAGUCCACGCUGUAAACGGUGGGUACUAGGUGUGGGGUCCAUUCCACGGGUUCCGUGCCGUAGCUAACGCUUUAAGUACCCCGCCUGGGGAGUACGGCCGCAAGGCUAAAACUCAAAGGAAUUGACGGGGCCCCGCACAAGCGGCGGAGCAUGCGGAUUAAUUCGAUGCAACGCGUAGAACCUUACCUGGGUUUGACAUGGAUCGGGAGUGCUCAGAGAUGGGUGUGCCUCUUUUGGGGUCGGUUCACAGGUGGUGCAUGGCUGUCGUCAGCUCGUGUCGUGAGAUGUUGGGUUAAGUCCCGCAACGAGCGCAACCCUUGUUCACUGUUGCCAGCACGUUAUGGUGGGGACUCAGUGGAGACCGCCGGGGUCAACUCGGAGGAAGGUGGGGAUGGCGUCAAGUCAUCAUGCCCCUUAUGUCCAGGGCUUCACGCAUGCUACAAUGGCUGGUACAGAGAGUGGCGAGCCUGUGAGGGUGAGCGAAUCUCGGAAAGCCGGUCUCAGUUCGGAUUGGGGUCUGCAACUCGACCUCAUGAAGUCGGAGUCGCUAGUAAUCGCAGAUCAGCAACGCUGCGGUGAAUACGUUCCCGGGGCU
Molecule: ribosomal RNA, 1346 nt
Filed under: uncultured bacterium
Lineage: Bacteria
Description: partial 16S ribosomal RNA
Rfam family: Bacterial small subunit ribosomal RNA
Source: RNAcentral